Molecule: ribosomal RNA, 497 nt
Filed under: uncultured bacterium
Lineage: Bacteria
Description: partial 16S ribosomal RNA
Rfam family: Bacterial small subunit ribosomal RNA
Source: RNAcentral
GAUGAACGCUGGCGGCGUGCCUAAUACAUGCAAGUCGAGCGACCAGACGAUGAGCUUGCUCCUCUGACGUUAGCGGCGGACGGGUGAGUAACACGUGGAUAACAUACUUCUUAGUCUGGGAUAACUUCGGGAAACAGCAGCUAAUACUGGCUAAUAUAUUGAACCGCAUGGUUCAAUAGUUAAAGACGGUUUUGCUGUCACUUUUAGAUGGAUCCGCGCCGCAUUAGCUAGUUGGUAAGGUAACGGCCUACCAAGGCAACGAUGCGUAGCCGACCUGAGAGGAUGAUCAGCCACACUGGAACUGAGACACGGUCCAGACUCCUACGGGAGGCAGCAGUAGGGAAUAUUGCGCAAUGGGCGAAAGCCUGACGCAGCAACACCGCGUGAGUGAUGAAGGUCUUCGGAUCGUAAAGCUCUGUUAUUAGGGAAGAACAGAUGUAUAUGAAACUAUGCACGUCUUGACGGUACCUAAACAGAAAGCCACGGCUAACUACGUG